Molecule: transfer RNA, 72 nt
Filed under: Camelus bactrianus (Bactrian camel)
Lineage: Eukaryota; Metazoa; Chordata; Mammalia; Artiodactyla; Camelidae
Also listed under: 2 other names
Rfam family: tRNA
About the family: Transfer RNA (tRNA) molecules are approximately 80 nucleotides in length.
Source: Rfam by way of RNAcentral
GAGGGUAUAGUUCAGUGGUAGAGUGCCUGCUUAGCAUGCAUGAAGUCCUGGGUUUAAUCCCCAGUACCUUCA